This 276-nucleotide ribosomal RNA is filed under the name uncultured bacterium. RNAcentral describes it as "partial 16S ribosomal RNA". It matches the Rfam family "Bacterial small subunit ribosomal RNA", at positions 524 to 787 of the family's 1533-position model. The record is from RNAcentral.
UACAGAGGGUGCGAGCGUUGUUCGGAAUUAUUGGGCGUAAAGGGCGCGUAGGCGGUGCGGUAAGUCACCUGUGAAAUCUCCUGGCUCAACUGGGAGCUUGCAGGCGAAAACUGCCGUGCUGGAGUGUGGGAGAGGUGCGUGGAAUUCCCGGUGUAGCGGUGAAAAUGCGUAGAUAUCGGGGAGGAACACCUGUGGCGAAAGCGGCGCACUGGACCACAACUGACGUGAGGCGCGAAAAGCUUAGGGGGGAGCAAAACAGGAAUUUAGAAAACCCCC